UCCCAGUGUCCAACUGGUCUGUAUUUAGUUUCAUUUGAAGGAGACUCCCUCAAUAACUACAAAAAGAAGCAUCUGUUAUUCCAUGUAAGAAUAAGUGCUUUACUUUGGGACUGCCUUGCUGGUGUUUGUUCAUCAGUGGGUUUGUCCAUUGACUUGAUUACAGCAGAAUCCAAAUUUAAACACUUGAAGGUGCUGUUUUUUCCAAAGUUUUGGGAUGGUAAUCAUUGAUUUUGUGCAUGAUGUGUUUCUAUGCUUUAACAAGGACUGUCAUAAUGUUCUUCUUUCAGAAAACAUUAUAAUAGUUGAAUUUGCAUGAAAUGCUUUAAAUGUGUGAAAACUCCACCCAUGCUCAAGAAUGCUGAGGCAUUCCAAAGAUAUUAACAGGGCAAUCAAAGAUUAAUGGCCUUUCAAAACUACCCAAGUACCAACGACCACAGCAAAGCCAAAGAGCCAUAGACAUAUUUAUAAUGGGUGCUGUUAACAAAACUGCUCAGAUCAGCUCACCUUGACUGCAGGCAGCAUGCUCCUGGUAUCUCUGGCUGGAAAUGUCCUCAUCUGAUUCCACAGACUUGUAGUCUUCGAAAUGGAAAAUAUUUUGAUUUGUCACUAUCGGUA
Long non-coding RNA from Carassius gibelio (silver crucian carp), 615 nucleotides. RefSeq lists it as uncharacterized. NCBI's taxonomy places the organism in Eukaryota, Metazoa, Chordata, Actinopteri, Cypriniformes, Cyprinidae. The transcript has 2 exons. The record is from RefSeq and is a predicted model, not a curated record.